GAAAUGCGAUAAGUAAUGUGAAUUGCAGAAUUCAGUGAAUCAUCGAAUCCUUGAACGCACAUUGCGCCCGGCAGCAAUCUGCCGGGCAUGCCUGUCCGAGCGUCAUUUCUGCCCUCGAGCGCGGUUCGGCCCCUAGCGGGCCGGCCGCCGCCCGGUGUUGGGGCGCUGCGGGCCCUCGUGCCCGCAGGCCCUGAAAUGAAGUGGCGGUCCCGCCGCGGCGCCCCCUGCGUAGUAGUAAAGCACCUCGCAUCGGGUCCCGGCGGAGGCCAGCCGUCGAACCUCUCUUUUGAUGGUUUGACCUCGGAUCAGGUAGGGUUACCCGCUGAACUUAAGC
Molecule: unclassified non-coding RNA, 334 nt
Filed under: plant metagenome
Description: partial contains 5.8S ribosomal RNA, internal transcribed spacer 2, and large subunit ribosomal RNA
Rfam family: 5.8S ribosomal RNA (bases 1-105)
Source: RNAcentral